RNAcentral lists this ribosomal RNA (384 nucleotides) under uncultured Microgenomates group bacterium. Its description in RNAcentral is "bacterial SSU rRNA". It matches the Rfam family "Bacterial small subunit ribosomal RNA", at positions 987 to 1382 of the family's 1533-position model. The record is from RNAcentral.
UGUAACUGCAAACCUCUGGAAACAGAGGAAUCCUUCGAGGGUGUUACACAGCUGCUGCAUGGUUGUCGUCAGUUCGUGUCGUGAGGCGUCGGCUUAAGUGCCGUAACGAACGCAACCCCUGUGCUAUGUUAAAUAUCCAUAGCAGACUGCCUUGGAUUUUUCCAAGGAGGAAGGAGGGGAUGACGUCAAAUCAGCAUGGCGCUUAUAUCUAGGGCUACACACAUGGCGUAAUGGGUGGGACAACGGGAUGCCAAGGCGCGAGCCGGAGCUAAUCCUUAUAAACCCAUCCUCAGUUUGGAUUGCAGGCUGCAAUUCGCCUGCAUGAAAGGGAGUUGAUAGUAAUCGCGGAUCAGCAACACCGCGGUGAAUACGUUCUCGUUUCUU